CCCUUAGAUGUUCUGGGCCGCACGCGCGCUACACUGACGGAGCCAACGAGUCUUUUCCUUGUCCGGAAGGACUGGGUAAUCUUGUGAAACUUCGUCGUGCUGGGGAUAGAUCCUUGCAAUUUUUGAUCUUAAACGAGGAAUGCCUAGUAAGCGCAAGUCAUCAACUUGCGUUGAUUACGUCCCUGCCCUUUGUACACACCGCCCGUCGCUACUACCGAUUGAAUGGUUUAGUGAGGCCUUCGGAUCCGCGACUCGUUUGUGGAGAAGUUGGACAAACUCAGUCAUUUAGAGGAAGUAAAAGUCGUAACA
This 309-nucleotide ribosomal RNA is filed under the name uncultured eukaryote. RNAcentral describes it as "partial 18S ribosomal RNA". It matches the Rfam family "Eukaryotic small subunit ribosomal RNA", at positions 1470 to 1796 of the family's 1831-position model. The record is from RNAcentral.